Molecule: ribosomal RNA, 765 nt
Filed under: uncultured bacterium
Lineage: Bacteria
Description: bacterial SSU rRNA
Rfam family: Bacterial small subunit ribosomal RNA
Source: RNAcentral
GAGUGGCGAACGGGUGAGUAACACGUGGGUAACCUGCCCAUCAGAAGGGGAUAACACUUGGAAACAGGUGCUAAUACCGUAUAACACUAUUUUCCGCAUGGAAGAAAGUUGAAAGGCGCUUUUGCGUCACUGAUGGAUGGACCCGCGGUGCAUUAGCUAGUUGGUGAGGUAACGGCUCACCAAGGCCACGAUGCAUAGCCGACCUGAGAGGGUGAUCGGCCACACUGGGACUGAGACACGGCCCAGACUCCUACGGGAGGCAGCAGUAGGGAAUCUUCGGCAAUGGACGAAAGUCUGACCGAGCAACGCCGCGUGAGUGAAGAAGGUUUUCGGAUCGUAAAACUCUGUUGUUAGAGAAGAACAAGGAUGAGAGUAGAACGUUCAUCCCUUGACGGUAUCUAACCAGAAAGCCACGGCUAACUACGUGCCAGCAGCCGCGGUAAUACGUAGGUGGCAAGCGUUGUCCGGAUUUAUUGGGCGUAAAGCGAGCGCAGGCGGUUUCUUAAGUCUGAUGUGAAAGCCCCCGGCUCAACCGGGGAGGGUCAUUGGAAACUGGGAGACUUGAGUGCAGAAGAGGAGAGUGGAAUUCCAUGUGUAGCGGUGAAAUGCGUAGAUAUAUGGAGGAACACCAGUGGCGAAGGCGGCUCUCUGGUCUGUAACUGACGCUGAGGCUCGAAAGCGUGGGGAGCGAACAGGAUUAGAUACCCGGGUAGUCCACGCCGUAAACGAUGAGUGCUAAGUGUUGGAGGGUUUCCGCCCUUCAGU